AUUGAACGCUGGCGGCAGGCCUAACACAUGCAAGUCGAGCGGAUGAAGGGAGCUUGCUCCUGGAUUCAGCGGCGGACGGGUGAGUAAUGCCUAGGAAUCUGCCUGGUAGUGGGGGAUAACGUCCGGAAACGGGCGCUAAUACCGCAUACGUCCUGAGGGAGAAGGUGGGGGAUCUUCGGACCUCACGCUAUCAGAUGAGCCUAGGUCGGAUUAGCUAGUUGGUGGGGUAAAGGCCUACCAAGGCGACGAUCCGUAACUGGUCUGAGAGGAUGAUCAGUCACACUGGAACUGAGACACGGUCCAGACUCCUACGGGAGGCAGCAGUGGGGAAUAUUGGACAAUGGGCGAAAGCCUGAUCCAGCCAUGCCGCGUGUGUGAAGAAGGUCUUCGGAUUGUAAAGCACUUUAAGUUGGGAGGAAGGGCAGUAAGUUAAUACCUUGCUGUUUUGACGUUACCAACAGAAUAAGCACCGGCUAACCUCGUG
This 484-nucleotide ribosomal RNA is filed under the name uncultured bacterium. RNAcentral describes it as "partial 16S ribosomal RNA". It matches the Rfam family "Bacterial small subunit ribosomal RNA", at positions 30 to 507 of the family's 1533-position model. The record is from RNAcentral.